Non-coding RNA from Parelaphostrongylus tenuis, 71 nucleotides. NCBI's taxonomy places the organism in Eukaryota, Metazoa, Nematoda, Chromadorea, Rhabditida, Metastrongylidae. The record is from the annotation of a GenBank genome assembly.
GCCUCGGUGGUGUAAUGGUAGCCCGAGUCCCCAGUAUGGAUGAAACGCCAGUUCGACUCUUGUCUGAGGCC